UACGUGAAACCGUUCAGGGGUAAACCCGAGAAACCCGAAAGUUCGAACGGGGAGAUUCAUCGGGUAUCGCUCGCGGAGUGCGUGUUUGGUGUGCGACGGGCGACGUUUGCGCGUCGUCCGCGCCGCCGUGCUCGUCUGCUCUCGGCGAUCCCGUGCACUUCUCCACCUAGUAGGACGUCGCGACCCGUUCGGGGCCGGCCUACGGCCGACGUUUUCGUCCGCGCGACCUCCGUGUCGUGCGGGUUCGUCGUGCCCGGUCGGAACCAGACGGUAGUCAGUGGCGCGCGGCCGCGAUGGAUCGCGUCCGGCCCUCUGCAAGCACCGGCGGUAGUCUGGUGAUCGGACCUCGUGCCGAUCCCGGGCCCGUCGUGUUGUUGGCGGAGGUGUCCUCGGACAGACCGUCACACGCCCGUCCGCGACGCUAUUGCUUUGGGUACUCUCGGGGCCCGUCUUGAAACACGGACCAAGGAGUCUAGCAUGUACGCGAGUCAUUGGGACUUACGAAACCCAAAGGCGAAAUGAAAGUGAAGGAGGUGCCUCGCGCUCUCCGAGGGCCGAUGGGUGUCGUCUCGGCGACGCCCCGCAAGCCCGCGGCGCCCCGUACUCAUUGCGAGUUGGGGCGCACCCAGAGCGUACAUGCUGGGACCCGAAAGAUGGUGAACUAUGCCUGGUCAGGACGAUAGUCAGGGGAAACCCUGAUGGAGGUCCGUAGCGAUUCUGACGUGCAAAUCGAUCGUAAGAACUG
This 745-nucleotide ribosomal RNA is filed under the name Ptiliidae sp. NZAC 03011262. RNAcentral's name for it is "eukaryotic LSU rRNA". It matches the Rfam family "Eukaryotic large subunit ribosomal RNA", at positions 396 to 913 of the family's 3401-position model. Lineage: Eukaryota; Metazoa; Arthropoda; Insecta; Coleoptera; Ptiliidae. The record is from RNAcentral.